AUUGAACGCUGGCGGCAUGCCUUACACAUGCAAGUCGAACGGUAACAGGUCUUCGGAUGCUGACGAGUGGCGAACGGGUGAGUAAUACAUCGGAACGUGCCCGAUCGUGGGGGAUAACGAGGCGAAAGCUUUGCUAAUACCGCAUACGAUCUACGGAUGAAAGCGGGGGAUCUUCGGACCUCGCGCGGACGGAGCGGCCGAUGGCAGAUUAGGUAGUUGGUGGGAUAAAAGCUCACCAAGCCGACGAUCUGUAGCUGGUCUGAGAGGAUGAUCAGCCACACUGGGACUGAGACACGGCCCAGACUCCUACGGGAGGCAGCAGUGGGGAAUUUUGGACAAUGGGCGAAAGCCUGAUCCAGCCAUGCCGCGUGCAGGAUGAAGGCCUUCGGGUUGUAAACUGCUUUUGUACGGAACGAAAAGCCUCUUUCUAAUAAAGAGGGGUCAUGACGGUACCGUAAGAAUAAGCACCGGCUAACUACGUG
Molecule: ribosomal RNA, 482 nt
Filed under: uncultured bacterium
Lineage: Bacteria
Description: partial 16S ribosomal RNA
Rfam family: Bacterial small subunit ribosomal RNA
Source: RNAcentral